CCAGAGAAUUUAGCAGAGAUGCCUUAGUGCCUUCGGGAACUCUGAGACAGGUGCUGCAUGGCUGUCGUCAGCUCGUGUUGUGAAAUGUUGGGUUAAGUCCCGCAACGAGCGCAACCCUUAUCCUUUGUUGCCAGCACGUAAUGGUGGGAACUCAAAGGAGACUGCCGGUGAUAAACCGGAGGAAGGUGGGGAUGACGUCAAGUCAUCAUGGCCCUUACGAGUAGGGCUACACACGUGCUACAAUGGCGCAUACAAAGAGAAGCGACCUCGCGAGAGCAAGCGGACCUCAUAAAGUGCGUCGUAGUCCGGAUUGGAGUCUGCAACUCGACUCCAUGAAGUCUGAAUCGCUAGUAAUCGUAAAUCAGAAUGUUACGGUGAAUACGUUCCCGGGCCUUGUACACACCGCCCGUCACACCAUGGGAGUGGGUUGCAAAAGAAGUAGAUAGCUUAACCUUCGGGAGGGCGUUUACCACUUUGUGAUUCAUGACUGGGGUGAAGUCGUAACAAGGUAAGCGUAGUGCU
RNAcentral lists this ribosomal RNA (522 nucleotides) under uncultured bacterium. RNAcentral's name for it is "bacterial SSU rRNA". It matches the Rfam family "Bacterial small subunit ribosomal RNA", at positions 988 to 1509 of the family's 1533-position model. The record is from RNAcentral.